GAACGGGUGAGUAACACGUGAGCAACCUGCCCUAGGCUUUGGGAUAACCCCGGGAAACCGGGGCUAAUACCGAAUAUGACCUCUGGACGCAUGUCUGGUGGUGGAAAGUUUUUCGGCCUGGGAUGGGCUCGCGGCCUAUCAGCUUGUUGGUGGGGUGAUGGCCUACCAAGGCGACGACGGGUAGCCGGCCUGAGAGGGCGACCGGCCACACUGGGACUGAGACACGGCCCAGACUCCUACGGGAGGCAGCAGUGGGGAAUAUUGCACAAUGGGCGGAAGCCUGAUGCAGCGACGCCGCGUGAGGGAUGACGGCCUUCGGGUUGUAAACCUCUUUCAGCAGGGACGAAGCGUAAGUGACGGUACCUGCAGAAGAAGCACCGGCCAACUACGUGCCAGCAGCCGCGGUAAGACGUAGGGUGCGAGCGUUGUCCGGAUUUAUUGGGCGUAAAGAGCUCGUAGGCGGCUUGUCGCGUCGACCGUGAAAACUUGGGGCUCAACUCCAAGCCUGCGGUCGAUACGGGCAGGCUAGAGUUCGGUAGGGGAGACUGGAAUUCCUGGUGUAGCGGUGAAAUGCGCAGAUAUCAGGAGGAACACCGGUGGCGAAGGCGGGUCUCUGGGCCGAUACUGACGCUGAGGAGCGAAAGCGUGGGGAGCGAACAGGAUUAGAUACCCUGGUAGUCCACGCUGUAAACGUUGGGCGCUAGGUGUGGGGGGCCUCUCCGGUUCCCUGUGCCGCAGCUAACGCAUUAAGCGCCCCGCCUGGGGAGUACGGCCGCAAGGCUAAAACUCAAAGGAAUUGACGGG
This 804-nucleotide ribosomal RNA is filed under the name Micromonospora sp. R04-16. RNAcentral describes it as "bacterial SSU rRNA". It matches the Rfam family "Bacterial small subunit ribosomal RNA", at positions 100 to 917 of the family's 1533-position model. The record is from RNAcentral. Lineage: Bacteria; Bacillati; Actinomycetota; Actinomycetes; Micromonosporales; Micromonosporaceae.